GCUCGCCUGGGGCAUGGGCCUGCUGACCUGGCAGGACAGCCCCAAGGCCGGCUGGUACGACGCCGAGGGCGAGCUC
This 76-nucleotide transfer RNA is filed under the name Actinomyces capricornis. Its description in RNAcentral is "Actinomyces sp. MAS-1 tRNA-Ala". Lineage: Bacteria; Bacillati; Actinomycetota; Actinomycetes; Actinomycetales; Actinomycetaceae. The record is from RNAcentral.